GAGAGCCUACGGGGGGCAGCAGUGGGGAAUAUUGGACAAUGGGGGAAACCCUGAUCCAGCGACGCCGCGUGAGUGAAGAAGUAUUUCGGUACGUAAAGCUCUAUCAGCAGGAAAGAAAAUGACGGUACCUGACUAAGAAGCCCCGGCUAACUACGUGCCAGCAGCCGCGGUAAUACGUAGGGGGCAAGCGUUAUCCGGAUUUACUGGGUGUGAAGGGAGCGUAGACGGUUGUGCAAGUCUGAAGUGAAAGCCCGCGGCUCAACUGCGGAACGGCUUUGGAAACUGUGUAACUGGAGUGCUGGAGA
Molecule: ribosomal RNA, 305 nt
Filed under: uncultured bacterium
Lineage: Bacteria
Description: bacterial SSU rRNA
Rfam family: Bacterial small subunit ribosomal RNA
Source: RNAcentral